This 506-nucleotide ribosomal RNA is filed under the name Lacticaseibacillus rhamnosus. RNAcentral describes it as "bacterial SSU rRNA". It matches the Rfam family "Bacterial small subunit ribosomal RNA", at positions 121 to 613 of the family's 1533-position model. Lineage: Bacteria; Bacillati; Bacillota; Bacilli; Lactobacillales; Lactobacillaceae. The record is from RNAcentral.
GUAACCUGCCCUUAAGUGGGGGAUAACAUUUGGAAACAGAUGCUAAUACCGCAUAAAUCCAAGAACCGCAUGGUUCUUGGCUGAAAGAUGGCGUAAGCUAUCGCUUUUGGAUGGACCCGCGGCGUAUUAGCUAGUUGGUGAGGUAACGGCUCACCAAGGCAAUGAUACGUAGCCGAACUGAGAGGUUGAUCGGCCACAUUGGGACUGAGACACGGCCCAAACUCCUACGGGAGGCAGCAGUAGGGAAUCUUCCACAAUGGACGCAAGUCUGAUGGAGCAACGCCGCGUGAGUGAAGAAGGCUUUCGGGUCGUAAAACUCUGUUGUUGGAGAAGAAUGGUCGGCAGAGUAACUGUUGUCGGCGUGACGGUAUCCAACCAGAAAGCCACGGCUAACUACGUGCCAGCAGCCGCGGUAAUACGUAGGUGGCAAGCGUUAUCCGGAUUUAUUGGGCGUAAAGCGAGCGCAGGCGGUUUUUUAAGUCUGAUGUGAAAGCCCUCGGCUUAAC